This 73-nucleotide transfer RNA is filed under the name Caulobacter phage CcrSC. Its description in RNAcentral is "tRNA-Ile". It matches the Rfam family "tRNA". Rfam says of the family: Transfer RNA (tRNA) molecules are approximately 80 nucleotides in length. Their secondary structure includes four short double-helical elements and three loops (D, anti-codon, and T loops). The record is from RNAcentral. Lineage: Duplodnaviria; Heunggongvirae; Uroviricota; Caudoviricetes; Jeanschmidtviridae.
GCUAGGUUAGCUCAGAUGGUAGAGCACCCGAUCGAUAAUCGGGAUGUCGCAGGUUCGAGCCCUGCACCUAGCA